This is a long non-coding RNA of Oncorhynchus tshawytscha (Chinook salmon), 1765 nucleotides long. NCBI's taxonomy places the organism in Eukaryota, Metazoa, Chordata, Actinopteri, Salmoniformes, Salmonidae. The record is from Ensembl.
AACAUAUUCACAUGACAAGAGGAUCAAGAAGCAGAAAAUCAAGGAGCAGAAAAUGAACAUGUCUUUCUUGAUAUUCUUGCAAAGGUUUCAGAGUACUCUCUUAAAUUCAUUGAGCUGGAUGAGAACUUCAAGAGAUCCAUCGAGUUCAGGAUGAUCCAGGAUUAAAGAAAGCAUGUACAUUGCAGAGAGGGAGCACAAGUAAAGCCUAGCUAGAAUGGAGCACACAUUCUUCAGUGAAAAAGUUUCACCUAGAGGAGGAGGCAGAGCAGAGGAUCGCCCAACUGGAUGAGAGGGCCCACAAUGAAGCCGUUGUGUGAGUGUCUCCGCUGGCCAAUUACAGGCUAAUUUUACUGUUCAAACUGCACCUUCAGGCCAGGAGAAAAAAAAGAGGCCAAAUAAAUAACAUGGGAGGGAAACCAAGGUUCUUGACCACACCAGUUUGUCUUCCUUAAGAUAGUGUACAUCACCUAAGCCAGUGAUGACAUCCCAAGCAGUUCCAGAAUGCCUUGCAGGGUUGCAGGGAAGAGGGUCCUGGUUUGGAACAGUGGGGAAGACCUCUCUGUGUACUGUAUAGUUCGAAAGCCAUCUGAGGACAGACUAGGUACUAUAUAUACACUUUGAAGUUGGUGUUCUUUUAUAGUCCAUAAAUGAUCUUCAACACUGAUACUGUAUUGCCAGUUCUAUAUUGUAUUGCCAGUUCUAUAUUGUAUUGCCAGUUCUAUAUUGUAUUGCCAGUUCUAUACUUCAGUUCUUGGUGAUUUAUAUUGUAGAAAUAAAUGUAACCUGCGUUUUCAGACCAAUUUGGUGACUUAAGGCAAAUUAAAACCAAAUCUUCCCCAGCAUUCUAAGCUUGGAAUUUGAUGUCACUCAAUUCUCUCUACUACAUCACCAAACCCAGCACACCACCUUUAUGCCAUUUAUACCUUAGAGAGAGUUUGGCACAUGAAAGGUAAAACUGUCAGUCAGCGAGACAACGCAUCGCGCUUCAUGUUCAACAACAACUUUGGUAGCCUAGUGCGUGGCUGAGACUAAGUGGAGAACCUGAGGAAGAUGACUGUCAUUGGCUGAGGAAAACGCCUCCCUGGCACUGCAUAAGGUACACCAGCCCCAAUGGCGCCACAAACAGAACUGUAGGCAUUCAUCAUCUCAAUACCAUCUCAAUAACUUGUCUUUAAAUUGUUAAACACGUGGCAGAUCUCCAGAGGACAUAUUUCAGAUGGUAUUUCCCAUUUUAUUUAUAUUUGCUGACCCCAUGUUUGUUUUGCUUGCGGCCCCUCAUACCCCUCACCUCCAGUGUGAGCUGGUGGCUGGUGGUUGUGGCAAGUUUCCACUGGCUUCUGGGUUCCAAGUCAGUGGCUUCCCCCCUCAGUAUUUUCAGGGCACUGUUUCUCUGAAGCAAAUACCAUAAUCUCACCCAUUAUUUCGAUAAAGCGAGGACAGAAUGAAGUCACCCCAGCUCAGUCCUUCUUCCAUGCUCCAGCCUCCUUCCAUUCCCUUCCAUGCUCCAUUCAUUCCCUUCCACGCUCCAUCCAUUUCCUUCCACGCUCCAUCCAUUUCCUUCCACGCUCCACCAUCCAUCGAUUCCCUUCCAUGCUCAACCCUCCUUCCAUUUCCUUCCAUGCUCAAACCUCCUUCCAUUUGGCAAUUAAGCCCCCCACCAAAACAUUAUUCAUUCAUCAACAUGCCAUUUAGUGGCUUUAAUUAACUACAUUACCUUGGAGAAAGCCAUAUGUAUAUUGUCAUGAUGAUUGCAACCAUAUUUUAA